Peromyscus californicus insignis is the source of this 2730-nucleotide long non-coding RNA. RefSeq lists it as uncharacterized. The record is from RefSeq and is a predicted model, not a curated record. The transcript is spliced from 5 exons. Lineage: Eukaryota; Metazoa; Chordata; Mammalia; Rodentia; Cricetidae.
CCAAUCUACUUCAGAGAAGAUGAUGGGCAUUGAAGAAACUCCAUAUGGAGUUUACUUUCUUUGUGGCAAAAGUUAGCCACUGGGCAAGAAAAUUCUCUUGCCUUGACUGCUGACAGUAUCCUGUAAAAAGGGGACAAGCAGGACACAAAAGAAAGGACAGCUGAACUCUGCCAAGACAAGGCAACUGCUACUGAUAUGAAAACCAGUUCAUUGGUUCUGUCAUGGCUAGAAGACACAGAAAAAGUCUCACUGUGUUGCCCAGCCUGGUCUCAAACUUCUGAGCAUCCUGUACCAGCCUAAGUGCUGGGAUGAUAAGAAUGUGCCAUCGUGCCAGAUGGAGCAUUCAUGCCUGAUCACUGCAUGCCAUGAGUCUGCUAAUGUCUUUGAGUGAGAUCUUGUUCUUUUUUAUGAGAAUGGACUUAAAUCCUGCCACUAGAAGAGUGAGAACAAUAAGUGCAGCUCUCAUCCCUCAUUAAAGAAGCUUUGAUUCCAAAAUCAGUGGAGACUAUUACAGAGAUCCGGGACUACCAAAAAUGAAGAGAAAUGAAGCCAACCCCAACUGACACAUCUGCAAUGCAAUUCCUACACCUAAGGCUCAGGGAAAAGGAAAAAAAAGAGGGGAAGAAAGCCUGUGAGAUCCAGGGGCCUCCUACGCCCAUUGCUAGGCAGUGUUCCCUAGGUAAGAUAAGGGAAAUGCAUCCGUGGAAGCUAAGCAAUAUGGUUCCCUGAACAAGAUCAGCAUGGCAACAGCAACUGGCGUGUCAACAGUGACGGGAGUAAAUUACACGCCUCCCACCCCUAGAUGAAAAGCUGUAACACACCUCAUAACAAAGCCCCAGGUAGAUCAAUGGCUGCUGAGAAGAGCAGUAGUUUCCUCCAAGAUCAAGCUCCCACACAGUAAGCUCUAUCCCAAAUGGUUAGUGCCACACACAUGUACAUAUGCAUAAGGAUAAAUGGACUCAGAGGUUGUAUAUGUAUAUGUUUUAUUAUUAUUACUAACAAUAAUAAAGAAAAGACUGAAUUUGGGAAAGAAUGGCACCAGAGGAGUUUGAUGGUGGGGGAAGAGUAGGAAUGAUAUAGUUCCUGUGUUUGUGUAUGAAGUUCUAAAUAAAAGAAAAAUAAUGUGGCAAAUCAGUGUCAGGUAAUGGAAGGGCAGUCUUUCUUGAACAGUUGUUGAGGAGACUGAUUUAUAAAGGCCACUGCUCAUCUGUCAGUACUGUUGUAAUGCGGCAAUGGGAUUUCUGAAAAUAACUAUAUUCUAAGAGACUGGAACUUGAACCUCACAGUCCAAGUUAAUAUUAUAUCUUGAUGUCCCUUAAGACUGGUAUGCUACUGUAUACUAAAACUGUUUGCUUAAGCACCUUUUAGGAGAACAAUGUAACAACAAAUCCUACUUGCAUUGGAUUUUCUGUAUAAUCAACUCUACAACCUAAGCUAAUGCAUAGCUACAGUCUUAAUUUAUGUACUCUUCCAUGCCUCUGACUCAAAGUAAUCCAUGUGUAUUAUUUGCUGAAAGCUGAAAAUACAAAAGUUGAAAAGGGCUUCCUAAAAUCUGCUACAAAGGUCAAAAGCAACAAUUUAUGACAUUUGGUUGAUAAACAGUGAUGUCUGUUAUCUGGGUCAGUUUGAACUGGUGACUUAAUCCCUUGUAAAAUUCUGUUAGAGAUGUCUGUAAAGAAUCCCACUUCUUUCCAUGUGAUGCUUUCUAUGCUGUUCAAUAAAUCCAGAGUUAAGCCCUUUGUUAGGGACAGACAUAAACAACUCAUACAACAGAUAAACAGAGAGCUCAUCCAACAGCUCACACCACACAUAUAGAUUCACAAGAUAGCCUUCACUCAGGCACAGAUUUAGACUCACACAACAGCCUACAAUAUGGAAGACACAGUAAGCAAGAAGUAGAGAAUUCAAAUCUGGACUGGCUUGUGUUUAAAAACUUCUAAGGGGAAGUGCUAUCUAUUUCUUUAAUUUGACACUGAUGCAUUAUUGGAUAGUGCUAACAGACUUUGUACUAGACAGAUAAGCCAACUCUCUAAGACAGUUCACACAGCAGACACCACUCAUACACAGACACGCAGACAAAACCAGAUAUACACAGAGACAGGCACAGACACAGGAACAAACAAUUUCACAGGCCAGACUUAAGCACAGAUUCAGACUCACACAACAGACAGGCAGAGGGCAGAAGACACACAGAGCACAGAUUUGACAAUUCAAAUCUGGAUUUGCUGUUGGCUAAAUGACUCCAUGGAGAAGCACUUUUAUUGUUAUUUUUAAAUGUUACAUCAGGGAGUUACUGUUGUCAGAGUUAAUCACUAAUAUGCACGAUUCUUGCAUGGUGAGUUUUCCUUAUCAUAUCUGGGCAGAGAGCGGCUCCCUGUGAUUUUCUCACUUCCCACUGGAUGUUUCCCCCAGCCAAACAGAAGUCUGGAUAGGUAAAAGUCUUGUCAAAAUUAUGUUGAAAACUCACCACAUUUCAUAUUCUUUUAAGAGUCCAAUAACCGAAGUAGUUAGACACAAAUUCUAGUCACUUUAAAGGGCGUCAUUAACUGUUUUGAAGCAACUCAUUGUGUCUUAACUUCUUUUAUGUUAUUCUAAAAUAUGUCCCCCAGAAAAGCAACAGAGAGGAGGAAGGGAUUUAUUUGGCACACAUGGAGAUUGAGCCAGGUGGUUAUAACACAUCUACAGACAUGAGUAGUGAAACUAACGCUCCCAAGCCACCUAUGCUAAGAU